Molecule: unclassified non-coding RNA, 151 nt
Filed under: rhizosphere metagenome
Description: partial ribosomal RNA internal transcribed spacer region
Source: RNAcentral
GUAGGUGAACCUGCGGAAGGAUCAUUAGAGAUGCGGCGUGAGCCGUCAAACCAAAAACACUGUGAACCGUGGCCUCGGCCUCUCAAACUAUCUGUACAGAACGUAAUCAUGAUAAUCAUCAUAACUUUCAACAACGGAUCUCUUGGCUCUC